CGAUGAUCCCAGCUUGCUGGGGGAUUAGUGGCGAACGGGUGAGUAACACGUGAGUAACCUGCCCUUGACUCUGGGAUAAGCCUGGGAAACUGGGUCUAAUACCGGAUAUGACCUUCUGACGCAUGUCAGGGGGUGGAAAGCUUUUGUGGUUUUGGAUGGACUCGCGGCCUAUCAGCUUGUUGGUGGGGUAAUGGCCUACCAAGGCGACGACGGGUAGCCGGCCUGAGAGGGUGACCGGCCACACUGGGACUGAGACACGGCCCAGACUCCUACGGGAGGCAGCAGUGGGGAAUAUUGCACAAUGGGCGCAAGCCUGAUGCAGCGACGCCGCGUGAGGGAUGACGGCCUUCGGGUUGUAAACCUCUUUCAGUAGGGAAGAAGCGAAAGUGACGGUACCUGCAGAAGAAGCGCCGGCUAACUACGUGCCAGCAGCCGCGGUAAUACGUAGGGCGCAAGCGUUAUCCGGAAUUAUUGGGCGUAAAGAGCUCGUAGGCGGUUUGUCGCGUCUGCUGUGAAAGACCGGGGCUCAACUCCGGUUCUGCAGUGGGUACGGGCAGACUAGAGUGCAGUAGGGGAGACUGGAAUUCCUGGUGUAGCGGUGAAAUGCGCAGAUAUCAGGAGGAACACCGAUGGCGAAGGCAGGUCUCUGGGCUGUAACUGACGCUGAGGAGCGAAAGCAUGGGGAGCGAACAGGAUUAGAUACCCUGGUAGUCCAUGCCGUAAACGUUGGGCACUA
RNAcentral lists this ribosomal RNA (736 nucleotides) under Paenarthrobacter nitroguajacolicus. RNAcentral's name for it is "bacterial SSU rRNA". It matches the Rfam family "Bacterial small subunit ribosomal RNA", at positions 67 to 818 of the family's 1533-position model. Lineage: Bacteria; Bacillati; Actinomycetota; Actinomycetes; Micrococcales; Micrococcaceae. The record is from RNAcentral.